Molecule: long non-coding RNA, 473 nt
Filed under: Mus caroli (Ryukyu mouse)
Lineage: Eukaryota; Metazoa; Chordata; Mammalia; Rodentia; Muridae
Description: lncRNA (MGP_CAROLIEiJ_G0005211.1)
Source: RNAcentral
AACAAACAGCUGGCUUUUUAAGUGCUGGUGGUCCCAACUCAGGCCUGUAAGCCAUCUUCACAGCUCUGGAAGCUGGAUCUUUGUGCAGUUGUGCAAGGCUGAGAAAGAUCAGCUGUUUCUGGUGCUAUGGGAACCCUGAUGGGGAAGCCAGUCUCCUCGAGUCUGACUAAACAGCCUAGAGGAGCAGAGAGGUUCGCACAGGCCAAACUAAACACUGGGCUAGAGGGGUUCCACAGAUGCAGAUCCAGGAAGUGUGUUCUAGCUGAGGGGCUGUUUCUACCAUAGAGGAGGGUGGAAGGAAACGGUGUAGCAUGAACAGUAACCCUGGGCACCGAAGAAAGAGGAGAACAUACAGAAGCAUUCACAUCCAGCAGCUCACAACAGCCUAUAACUGGUGGUGACGUUCAGAUAGCUGUGCGGCUACAGCUUAUCUUUAUGUUGAAAUAUUAUGUAUCAGUAGGUAGUAAUAGUAA